CAAAGGCCCAAACUAUCUCCUCACCCGCCGGUUUAUAGCCGUAGCCGGCGCUUGGAAGCAGCCAGCAGGUUUAGCCAAAUACCUCGAUUUGUUGGAGCUCCCUGUGCUUCCCUAGGCAGUUCCACUGUCUCUACCUCCAUUCUCGGUCUGCUCACUUGUGUGUUAGGAAGUACAAAAAAUGCAGUAGAAAAAGAACCUGAGCAGAUUUGCGGCUAUAAAAAUGCACAGAGUCUCUUCGAAGAAAUUUUAUGUUAUCUGCAACAAGUACUAUGCUUGCUUAUCAUCUGGAAACCCAAAGAUUCUCAAGAAAAGGUCAAGUUUCUCGAUCAAAUUCAUUGAAUCAUCGAAAUCUCAACUCUUUUCCACCUAUUCUCGUCUGGUUUCAACCGAAAUCCCAUCAAAACCAAUCCCAGCUCAUGAACUGAACAAAACCAUCCCUCAAAAUGGUACUCUCACUGAGCCAAGGAAGGGGCUUGCCCUAAUCUACCUCAACAACGAGCCAGAAGUUUCUACAGAGAUCAAAUCGCACGAUGAAUUUUCUUCUGAUGUUGAAAAGGUGUACAGAAUCUUGAGAAAAUUCCAUUCCAGAGUCCCAAAAUUGGAACUUGCUCUGCAAGAAUCUGGGGUGGUGGUAAGGUCUGGCUUAACUGAACGUGUGCUUAAUCGCUGUGGAGAUGCAGGGAAUUUAGGAUACAGAUUCUUUGUGUGGGCAUCAAAACAGCCCGGUUGUCGGCAUAGUUAUGAUGUUUACAAAGCCAUGAUCAAGAUUUUGGGGAAAAUGAGACAAUUUGGAGCUGUUUGGGCUCUAAUUGAGGAGAUGAGAAAGGAAAAUCCUCAGAUUGUGUCACCUGAGGUUUUUGUUGUUUUAAUGAGAAGGUUUGCGUCGGCAAGGAUGGUUAAAAAAGCAAUUGAAGUGUUGGAUGAGAUGCCCAAGUAUGGUUGUGAGCCUGACGAGUAUGUUUUUGGGUGCUUGUUGGAUGCUUUGUGUAAGAAUGGUAGUGUAAAGGAAGCUGCUUUGUUGUUUGAAGAUAUGAGAAUAAGGUUUAGGCCCACUAUUAAGCAUUUUACUUCAUUGUUGUAUGGUUGGUGCAGGGAAGGGAAACUGAUGGAGGCAAAAUUUGUGUUGGUGAAAAUGAGGGAAGCAGGUUUUGAGCCUGAUAUUGUGGUUUAUAAUAAUUUGCUUAAUGGGUAUGUGGUGGCGGGGAAAAUGGUGGAUGCAUUUGAUGUUUUGCAAGAGAUGAGGAAAAAGGGUUGUGAACCUAAUGCAACAUCCUUUACAAUUGUUAUUCAGGCACUUUGUGCUCGAGAGAAAAUGGAGGAGGCAAUGAGGGUAUUCAUGGAUAUGAGGAGGAGUGGCUGUGAAGCUGAUGUUGUGACUUACACUACCUUGAUCAGUGGAUUUUGUAAGUGGGGUAUGAUUGAUAAAGGUUAUGAUCUUGUAGAUAGCAUGAUACAGAAAGGGCAUACUCCAAAUCAGACAACUUACUUGCAUAUCAUGCUGGCUCAUGAAAAGAAGGAGGAGUUGGAAGAGUGUAUGGAACUUUUGAACGAGAUGCAAAAGAUUGGCAUAUUGCCUGAUCUGAGCAUUUACAAUACUAUAAUCCGUUUGGCCUGCAAACUGGGGGAAACUAAAGAAGGUAUGAGAGUUUUCAGUGAAAUUGAAGCAAAUGGCAUGAGUCCAGGUGUUGACACCUUUGUCAUCAUGAUCAAUGGGUUUGUUGAGCAAGGAUGUUUAAUCGAAGCUUGUGAUCACUUCAAAGAAAUGGUUGGGAGAGGCCUUUUGGCUGCUCCACAGUAUGGUACUCUGAAAGACUUGUUGAAUUCUCUGUUGAGAGUGGAUAAGCUUGAAAUGGCUAAAGAUGUCUGGAGUUGCAUUAUGACGAAAGGAUGUGAGCUUAAUGUGUAUGCAUGGACCAUUUGGAUUCAUGCUCUCUUCUCAAAUGGGCAUGUGAAGGAAGCCUGUUCUUACUGUCUGGAUAUGAUGGAUGCUGGCGUGAUGCCUCAGCCAGAUACCUUUGCCAAGCUUAUGCGUGGUCUAAGAAAGCUGUAUAAUAGACAAAUUGCUGCAGAGAUCACAGAGAAAGUGAGGAAAAUGGCUGCAGAGAGACAGAUGACAUUCAAGAUGUACAAGAGACGUGGUGAAAGAGACUUGAAAGAGAAAGCUAAGGCAAAGAAGGAUGGGAGGAAGAGGAGAGCACGCCGUCGACAAUGGGGAAAGGGUCGUACAAAGGAUAAUACCUUGUGAUGUGAAUAUAGGGAGACCUCAAAACAAAACUGAGUGUUCUGGUGAUGACAGAUUGUCCAAAGGAAGCAGACAAAUUGAUUGCUUCUCUGAAUCUCUGCUGCCCUUUCCUAUUCGUAAGCACCUGGCAUUGCACAAAAUUUCUAUUUAACAGAGUCGUCUGCAUGUGGUGCAUGUGCUGAUAGAACUGAAAGAUUUCAAAGCUAAAAGGAAAAGAAAACCUUGGGUGCAACUCGGACAAGCUCUUAUAUAGAGGAAUCCUGAUUGCCCGCCGAGAAUCUUCGUCGUACAGUUGGGCUCUGGCUGGACUCCCUUUCGAAAGCUAAUCUCUAUUAAGCAUUAUAUUUGGUGAAUUCUUGAUGACCAAUCAGAUGGACACCAAGUUGUUGGCCAAAGAAAUGCCCCUCAUCUUCGGUUUCAUUCACACUUGGACACCUAGUUGAUGAUCAUACCCUAGUCCAUGUAAAUAAUGAAGAAGCAAAAAUGAUGAGCUUGUGUUGGUGGGGAUGGAUUUUCAUCCCUACCGGCUAAGAUGAGAAUGAAGCUGCAACGAAAAAGUUAGAGCAAUCUAUAGCCAAGCCGAGGCACCAACACUUCCACCUCAAAUUGCACGACUAAUCCCGUUAUCCGAGCAGUUUACUUGGAGAGGGAAAAAGGGAGCUGUGUGGCACCAAUUUUAUCAUGUCUGUUCUUCAUCACCAAUCCUGGAGUGUAAAAUAUUCUGGACUGGCAUGUUAUUUUAGUUAUGUCGCGAAGGCCAUCAUGUUCAACUCAACGAGGUAUUGUUACCAGCAGCUUGGGGUGAAUGUUUCAUCCAAAAUUGAGCUCCCGUCGUUCCAAAACCCUGAUGUUCCUGGGCUUGAUCCUCAUUAUUGGGUAUACUUUUUGUGGCUCAAGCACGUAUUUGAUUGUAGACUCAUUGUACAGUAUAGUCAGUAUCAUCUUAUCUAGUACUAUGUGCCAAACAUGCACCAAGUGUUUCAUUCUUACGUACCAUCAUCUUUCUUAAUUAGAUCUAGCCCAGGUCAAGGAAUCACUUGCUAGAAUUGAAGGUGAUUUCACAUGCACAUCAGAAGUUCAGAGGGAAAUGCCAUAUUUAAAGACAGCAUACGGUGACAGUAUUUGCAGAGUUUUGCAUGUUGGACCAGAUACUUGUUCAGUGGUCUCUAAAUUGUUAAAAGAAUAAGAAACAGAAGCAUGGGUUGUUGAACCAUAUGAUAUAGAGGAUGGAGUUGCAAAAGUCUAGUGCAUAAGGGCAUAGUGCGCGUUUCUGAUAUUAAGUUCCCUGUACCAUAUACGGCUAAAUCAUUCUCCCGUUGUUGUCAUAUCGGAUGCUGUAGAUUAUCCGUCUUCAAAGUACCUGAAAAAGACUAUUCCAGAUUUAGCAAGAGUGUCGAGUACCAGUCUUGUUAUUUUUACUGGUAUUUCAAGAGCUAAAGUACCAGAACUGUCCAAGUUUGGCCGUCAGGCAAAAAUGAGGAGCUCAUCUUGGUGGGGAAAGUUUUUCGUCCUGACAAGCUUAGAUGAGAAUGAAGCUGCAAGGAAAAAGUUCGAGCAAUCUGCAACCAAGAGUUCUCACACUCCAAGCUUGAGGUGCCAAAUUUUUCACCUCAAAUCAUACGGCUAAUGUUGUACGAAUCGAACUUGUAAUCUCUGAGCUACAGAAUUAUUUUGUAUUUUUUUUUUUUUUGAUGACUCAAGUGUCCGAGCCUCACCUAACUAAUCUUGAGGAGUGACAGCCUUCCUCCUGGUUUGCCACCUAGGUAAAUUCGGAUGCAGUCACAACUUAUACACACUUAGACCGGACAUUCGGGAUGCGGUUCUUUUCCCUGCGAGCCUCUAUUUACGAUGUGCGGAUAGAACAUCUGGAAGGAUGAUAAAGCGCACCAUAACUUUACCUCCGCAGGACAUCUGCUUUCCAACAUUAAUUUUAUCUUCUAGCUGUUGCAGGGAUUCAAACCUUUGAUGCUCCGUAGAGAACUCUCCUACUUUACCAUUGUGUCGUGCCCUUAGGAAUGAUUUUGUAUUUUCUUAGGCAGAAGAGAUGUUCAGGUUCAGCACAUUUUUUGUCAGUAUUAAGUACCAACUUGUAAGUGGAAUAACUUUAAUCCCUUAGCAUUUGAACUCAAUUAUCAGUACAAAAUUUCCCA
This is an RNA transcript of Olea europaea var. sylvestris, 4392 nucleotides long. It is a transcript of the gene named pentatricopeptide repeat-containing protein At3g49730-like, with no coding region annotated. NCBI's taxonomy places the organism in Eukaryota, Viridiplantae, Streptophyta, Magnoliopsida, Lamiales, Oleaceae. The transcript is spliced from 11 exons. The record is from RefSeq and is a predicted model, not a curated record.